GCCUCGCUAAACGAUGCACACCUGUAACUCACGUGACCCUGAUUAUUAUUGAAACGAGAACGAGGGCGUCGUGCCUUUAUAAGACUGCGUUAAUGUUUCCGUGGAGUUAUCCCUUCCGGCGUUGUUGUUUAUUGAUUGUUAAACAUGGCUUCAUUUGCAAAGGUGUGUGUGUCCUCAUUGCGUGUGUCUGUAAUGCAUUCUGUUUUCCGAAGAGAGAUGUGAACUUUAAGGCCUCUGCAGUUGACCGCCAAAGUGAUGAUGUGGUUGUCACCACAACACCCGUUCCCCACAACCAGACCACAUCUGCCCAUACUGAAGCUGGUGGUGGUGCAAGUGAAGAUGCUGUGGCUACUACCCCAGCACCUAAUCCACACAACCAGACAACUUCUGCACAAACUGAAGUUACUGAUGGAGCCAGUGAAGAUGCUGUGGACCGCCAAAGUGAUGAUGUGGUUUCCACCACAACACCCAAUCCCCACAACCAGACCACAUCUGCCCCUACUGAAGCUGGUGGAGAUGGAGCAAGUGAAGAUGAUGAUGAUGCAGCAAGUGAAGAUGCUGUGGCUACCACCCCAACACCAAAUCCCCCAACUACAUCUGACCACACUGCAGCUACCGGUGAUGCAAGUGAGGGUGCUGUGGCUGCCCAAACUGGAACUACUGUAUCCCAUACGACUGAAGUCUGAUUCGACUGCUCCUCUGGUCACAAUGACCUGAGUCACUGUCUGGACUUUUUGCCUCUACAUGUUGACUGCAAUAAAGGACAGAUUUGUUUUUUGAAUCAAAUGUUGUCUUGCCUUUUUCAAAUUGAGGCCUUGUCCUGUUUUGGUGGUGGAGAUGACUAUGAAGCCUCUUUCCUAACGUAUUUCCGGUAGUGGUUUUACUAUAUGCUUCAUGCAACAAGGCCUUUAACGACUCUACAAUUUAAAAGCAUCUAGUUGUGUCAAUUAGUAAAAUGGUUGAACUGGUAGUGAUGCACUAUAAUGGUGAACUGCUUGUGGCAUUUCAAAAAUCU
This is a long non-coding RNA of Clupea harengus (Atlantic herring), 1015 nucleotides long. Lineage: Eukaryota; Metazoa; Chordata; Actinopteri; Clupeiformes; Clupeidae. The record is from Ensembl.